CACGUAGGGGACGAGCGUUGUCCGGAUUCAUUGGGCGUAAAGCGCACGUAGGCGGCUUCUUAAGUCAGGGGUGAAAUCCUGGAGCUCAACUCCAGAACUGCCUUUGAUACUGAGAAGCUUGAGUCCGGGAGAGGUGAGUGGAACUGCGAGUGUAGAGGUGAAAUUCGUAGAUAUUCGCAAGAACACCAGUGGCGAAGGCGGCUCACUGGCCCGAUACUGACGCUGAGGCACGAAAGCGUGGGGAGCAAACAGG
RNAcentral lists this ribosomal RNA (253 nucleotides) under uncultured bacterium. RNAcentral describes it as "partial 16S ribosomal RNA". It matches the Rfam family "Bacterial small subunit ribosomal RNA", at positions 524 to 776 of the family's 1533-position model. The record is from RNAcentral.